RNAcentral lists this long non-coding RNA (2445 nucleotides) under Homo sapiens (human). RNAcentral's name for it is "HSALNT0033375". The record is from RNAcentral. Lineage: Eukaryota; Metazoa; Chordata; Mammalia; Primates; Hominidae.
UUUAUAGCUCAGGGGUUGAAGGCAGGAGAGGGAGCCUAUCUGUAAAUAUCUUUCUCCUUAAAAUGUGGUCUCUCCCGCCUCUCUUCCUUUUGGCUCCUUUCCUUUUUUUUGGCACAGGAAGAUGGCUGAGGUCAGCGAGGCUGGGUUGUUUCCCUGUCCACAGCGCAUUAGGGACCAGAAAAGAAUGUUGGUGUCUCUAAGGUAUUAUUUUCACUUUGGGAGGCCAAAGUAGGAGGAUCAUUUGAGGCUAGGAGUUGGAGACCAGCCUGUGCAACAUAGUGAAACCUCAUCUCAAUGAAAAAGAGACAUUUUGCUGGCAGAGCAACAGCAACUUCUCUCAGCAGCCAGAUGAGAAACAGAGCUUGGAGGCAGAGGCGAGAACAGUGCUGAUGUGGCCGGUGCUGUUCCUUGGAAUUAAAAAAAGGCAGUCCCACUUGGGGCCAUUUUUCUGAAAAGUGAAGGGAAAUGUAAAACAUAAAACGGACCUAAUCUCAAGAAAAGUGGACCCUGCUAUGUGGGGAGAGAUGGUUCUGGGUGAGAUGAUGCCGCAGUUCUCUAUUAAUACUUAGGUCAUUGACACUCACCUUUUCAUGUCGCAAGCCUGGCCUUGGUCUCUGGUCAUGGACAUGCCACACUCGUGGGUCGUGAGGGUUGGCCCUCUGCCUUAUCUUCCCCAAAGACAGACUCACUGGCUCCUGAGCCCCAGGGAUCUCCAAAAAGGGGCCUUUGUUGUGGGGACAGCCCCAUCAUCCCAGCUGGUGGCUACCUUCCAGCAGGUGUUAUGUGGCUAUGUCCCAGUUCCCAAGUUGCUGACCUUGUGUGAUCUCUUCCCCACCCCUGCUGUGAUGCUGGAAUGACAACAGUUCCUCAAAUCUGCAGAGCACUUUCAACUUCCAAAGGUCUUUGGCGAACACUGCCACUAAUGUAAUCCCUGACUUCCCAUUAAGUUUGUGUUUAAGGAAUUGUUAUAACUUUUAAAGAAAAUUAUAAAAUCAAAACAGCACACAUAAAUGGUUUUUAAAGAAGCAGAAAAUAUUACAGAAAGGCCAACAAUGAAAACUUCCAUUUCUCAUGUCAUCGCCAACCACCCCAUGUUCUCCUUCCUAGAGGAAACCACUCUUAAUGGUUUCUUUCUUUUAAUUUAGUUUUUAUUUUAUUUUAUUUUACCAUGCCUUACAAGGCUUGUUAUUAAAACAGCAGUAUCAGGUUUCUUAUCGGGAUGAUGAAAUGAUCUAAAACUAGACUAUGGUGAUGGUUGCACAGCUCUGUGAAUAUACUAAAACCCACUGAGUUGUACCCUUUAGAUGGGUGAACUUUACAGUAUGUAAAUUAUAUCUUAAUACAGAGCUGGACAUUUUUCAGCAAUGUGAAACAUGUGAUGUGAUUUCAGUCCUAUUAGGCAAAUAAAGCAAUUUGCGAGGGCUUUGAGAAGACACAUAAUCCCUAAAUGGAUAGACAUGUGGCGUUAAUUAUUGAUCACAAUAGUUACUAACCAUAUAGUCACUGCUCUUAGAAUAACACAGAUUACUGUCUGGUCUACAAAGUCACAUAUGCAGAAAAAUUCUUGUUUCUUUAGAUAUUGUCUGUGUUGACAUACACUCAAAAAUGUUGAUGUUCUUUCUUCUACUUUGCUGACAUCAUAUUUUCAUUAAAUACAUGCUGCAGUAUACUAAAAAAAAUUAUAUCUCAAGCUGUUAGAAAAGGAGGCGGAGGCUGGGCACGGUGGCUCAUGCCUGUAAUCCCAGGACUUUGGGGAGGCCAAGGCGGGCGGAUCACCUGAGGUCAGGGGUUUGAGACCAGCCUGGCCAACAUGGUGAAAUCCUGUCUCUACUAAAGAUACAAAAAUGAGCCAGGUGUGGUGGCGCGUGCCUGUAGUCCCAGCUACUUGGGAGGCUGAGGCAGGAGAAUAGCUUGAACCUGGGAGACGGAGGUUAUAGUGAGCCGAGAUCGCACCACUGCACUCCAGCCUGGGAGAAAGCAAGACUCUGUCUUUUAAAAAAAAAAAAAAAAAAAAGACAGUCUCCUGACUCCCCCCUUCCAACUGCCACCACUGUCUCACUUCCUGAAGGCCAUUACUUUCAAACAGCGUGAUAUUUUCUUCCAUAUUGCUAAAUUAUUUGUUUGCAAUGUUAUUUCUUCAUUACUUAGUUUUAGGCAUUUACUAUUGACUUCCCAUUAAAAAAAGAUGAGGCUUUAACUUUCUUCCCUCUAACUGCCUUGGCCCCCACCAUACCAAAUAUGCACUUCCCACCCCUCAUCCUUCUCACAGAGAGUUACAGAUAUCCUGGUUAACACAGUGUUUCUGUUUAUAUUAACAUGACGACAAAAGCACCACUGGCAGCUGUCCAGUUGUGUGGCGUGGAGGAGGGCAUUCGAGGGUUUCACUGAUUCUUAAUUUGUCAACCUCCUAUCUUCCCCUCUCUCUCACUUCUAUUUCCCAAGGUC